Molecule: RNA transcript, 5716 nt
Organism: Mus musculus (house mouse)
Lineage: Eukaryota; Metazoa; Chordata; Mammalia; Rodentia; Muridae
Gene: Actn4
Gene name: actinin alpha 4
Exons: 21
Source: RefSeq, marked validated
GAAAGCAGCUGAAGCGGCGGCCGAGUCGGAGCCUCCGGCACAGGGGCGGGAGCUGAGGCGGUAGCGGACCGGCUGGCGGGCUAGCGAAAGGCGGCGGAAUGGUGGACUACCACGCAGCGAACCAGGCGUACCAGUACGGCCCGAACAGCGGCGGCGGCAAUGGCGCGGGUGGCGGCGGAAGCAUGGGCGACUACAUGGCCCAGGAGGAUGACUGGGACCGGGACCUGCUGUUGGACCCGGCCUGGGAGAAGCAGCAGCGCAAGACCUUCACAGCCUGGUGCAACUCUCAUCUUCGGAAGGCUGGCACUCAGAUCGAGAAUAUCGAUGAGGACUUCAGGGAUGGGCUCAAACUUAUGCUUCUGUUGGAGGUCAUUUCAGGGGAGCGUUUGCCUAAGCCAGAGCGGGGGAAGAUGCGAGUGCACAAGAUCAACAAUGUAAACAAAGCCCUGGACUUCAUCGCCAGCAAGGGAGUCAAGCUGGUGUCCAUCGGGGCAGAAGAGAUUGUGGAUGGCAAUGCAAAGAUGACCCUGGGAAUGAUCUGGACCAUCAUCCUCAGAUUUGCCAUCCAGGACAUCUCUGUGGAAGAGACCUCUGCUAAGGAAGGACUCCUCCUCUGGUGCCAGAGAAAGACAGCCCCAUAUAAAAACGUCAACGUCCAGAACUUCCAUAUCAGCUGGAAGGACGGGCUGGCCUUCAAUGCACUCAUCCACCGGCACAGGCCUGAGCUGAUUGAGUAUGACAAGCUGCGGAAGGAUGAUCCAGUCACCAACCUAAACAAUGCAUUUGAAGUGGCUGAGAAAUACCUCGAUAUCCCCAAGAUGUUGGAUGCUGAGGACAUCGUGAACACAGCCCGGCCCGACGAGAAGGCCAUAAUGACAUAUGUGUCCAGCUUCUACCAUGCCUUUUCAGGAGCGCAGAAGGUACCAGGCAGGGCCAGGCAGCCCUCCUCGCCGCCACUGCCCAAUGCCGCCGCUGCCUUUCGCCUCCCACGCUCACUUCAUUUCUCUUGCAGACGGCAGUGGCCUCUCUUGGACUGGAAACCAGCUCCCUCAGUCCUGGGCAUUGCUGCCUAUCUAGUCCUUGCUCAGUCUAUUGAGUGCCUGCUGUACACCAGGCUCUGUUCAGGCAGUGAGAACACAGGCAAGUUCCUGCUGCAAGGAAGCGUAUUUCCUAGUAGGUGAGACAGACAGGGCAUGUGAUCCGAGGACUCACUGGACAGGGUGGUGAGGUAGAGGCACCUGGGUCCUCUGGGAGCUGGGACCAUCAGUUGGAAAGGGCUUCACUCAAAACUGGGGCUGCCAGGUAAAGGCUACACAGGCAGGCCUCAGCAAGUGAGAUGGCGCAGCUUGCAGAGACAGUGACUCGAGAGAGCAAGGAAAGUUGAAAACAUCAGCUAGCCAUGGGUCAUUCUGCUGAGAGAGGUUUGUUUGUUUGUUUGUUUGUUAUUUGGGGGUACCUUUUAUUUAUUUUUUUUUUCUUUUCUUUUUUUUUUUCCAUUUUUUAUUAGGUAUUUAGCUCAUUUACAUUGGUACCUUUUAUUUUAUGUAAGUGUUUCGCUUGCAUGUAUAUCUGUGCACCUGGUACCUAGGGAGGCCAGCUGUUGGAUCCCUUAGAACUAGAGUUACAGAUAGUUGUCAGCCACCAUGUGGGAGCUUGGGUUGAACCUAAGUCCAAUGCUCUUAACUGCUGAGCCAUCUCUCCAGUUACAGGUUGUUUUCUUUGGUUUGGUUUGGGGGAUUUUUUGGUUUUGUUUUUGUUUUUUUGAUUUUUUGGUUUUUUAGACAAUGUCUCGUACAUAUAGCUCAGCUAGCUCUAAAGUCAUGAUGCUCCAUGUGCUACCACCUGGGGCUUUUUACUUUUGGGGGGGGUCGUUGAUAUAGUCCUGGCUGUCCUGGAAUCUUGGAACUUUGUAUGUAUAGACCAGGCCAGCCUUGAUCUUCCUGUCUCUGCCUCUGAGGUGCUGGGAUUGCCAGUGUCUGGCAAUGUUUGACUUUUUGAGACAGAAUCUGAUUCUUUAGUUGUUCCUGCCAUAGCUUCCUGAGUGCCAGAAUUGCAGAUGUGCACCAUAGAGCCCAGCAUCUUUAGGGUGUUAUGCAAAUGGCUGGUAGGUCAAGUGACACGAUUAUGGUUAGGGUUUCAGAAACAGUCGCUUAACUUUUGACUUUUUUGGCCCUAAAUGCAGCUCCUUUCAUACAGUCUAGUUAGUUUUCAAUGGCCUAUUUGAAAAUGAGGCUCCUCCCUCAGAGCCUGAUGGCCCUUCUGUGCACCAUGGCAGGGCAUGUCCCCCAGGUCUGAGCUCCGCUGGUUUCCAGUCCAGAGCAAGCGCUAUUCUUCCCGCAUGAGCCUCGGGCUGGCUGGCCGCCUCCCUCCUGCAUCUUUCACUCUGUCCUGUCUCUCUCUUCUCUCUCUCUCUCUGCGCAGAUAUUGUAGGCACUCUGAGGCCAGAUGAGAAGGCCAUCAUGACUUACGUGUCCUGCUUCUACCACGCCUUCUCGGGGGCCCAGAAGGCUGAGACCGCUGCCAACCGGAUCUGCAAGGUGCUGGCUGUGAACCAGGAAAAUGAGCACCUGAUGGAAGACUAUGAACGCCUGGCCAGUGAUCUUCUAGAGUGGAUUCGGCGCACCAUCCCCUGGCUGGAGGACCGGGUGCCUCAGAAGACCAUCCAGGAAAUGCAGCAGAAGCUGGAGGACUUCCGAGACUAUAGGCGUGUGCACAAGCCGCCCAAGGUGCAGGAGAAGUGUCAGCUGGAGAUCAACUUCAACACACUGCAGACCAAGCUGCGGCUCAGCAACCGGCCUGCCUUCAUGCCCUCCGAGGGCAGGAUGGUCUCCGACAUCAACAAUGGAUGGCAGCACCUGGAGCAGGCUGAGAAGGGCUAUGAAGAAUGGCUGCUGAAUGAAAUCCGUAGGCUGGAACGGCUUGACCACCUGGCAGAGAAGUUCCGGCAGAAGGCUUCCAUCCACGAGGCCUGGACUGAUGGGAAGGAGGCCAUGCUGAAGCAACGGGACUACGAGACAGCCACCCUGUCAGACAUCAAAGCUCUGAUCCGAAAACAUGAGGCCUUUGAAAGUGACCUGGCUGCACACCAGGACCGAGUGGAGCAGAUUGCUGCAAUUGCUCAGGAGCUCAACGAGCUGGACUACUAUGACUCCCACAACGUCAACACACGGUGCCAGAAGAUCUGCGACCAGUGGGAUAACCUGGGCUCUCUGACACACAGUCGCAGGGAAGCCUUGGAGAAAACAGAGAAACAGCUAGAGACCAUCGACCAGCUACAUUUGGAGUAUGCCAAGCGGGCUGCACCCUUCAACAACUGGAUGGAGAGUGCCAUGGAGGACCUGCAGGACAUGUUCAUCGUCCACACCAUCGAGGAGAUCGAGGGCCUGAUCUCAGCCCAUGACCAGUUCAAGUCCACCCUGCCAGAUGCUGACAGGGAGCGUGAGGCCAUCCUGGCCAUCCACAAGGAGGCCCAGAGGAUCGCUGAGAGCAAUCACAUCAAGCUGUCGGGCAGCAAUCCCUACACCACUGUUACCCCCCAGAUCAUCAACUCCAAGUGGGAGAAGGUGCAGCAGCUGGUGCCAAAGAGGGACCAUGCACUCCUGGAGGAGCAGAGCAAGCAGCAAUCCAAUGAGCACCUUCGCCGACAGUUCGCCAGCCAAGCCAAUAUGGUGGGGCCGUGGAUCCAGACCAAGAUGGAGGAGAUCGGGCGCAUCUCCAUUGAGAUGAACGGGACUCUGGAAGACCAGCUGAGCCACCUGAAGCAGUACGAGCGCAGCAUCGUGGACUACAAGCCCAGCCUGGACCUGCUGGAGCAGCAGCACCAGCUCAUCCAGGAGGCCCUCAUCUUCGACAACAAGCACACCAACUACACAAUGGAGCAUAUCCGUGUGGGCUGGGAGCAGCUGCUCACGACCAUUGCCCGCACCAUCAAUGAGGUGGAAAACCAGAUCCUCACCCGAGAUGCCAAGGGUAUCAGCCAGGAGCAGAUGCAGGAGUUCCGGGCAUCCUUCAACCAUUUUGACAAGGACCAUGGCGGGGCACUGGGGCCUGAGGAAUUCAAGGCCUGCCUCAUCAGCCUGGGCUAUGACGUGGAGAAUGACCGGCAGGUACGCGAACCACGGCCCCAGCAGACCGACAUUAACUGCUCUUCUCUUUCUCUCCUCUUCACCCCUGGCAUCCUGUGCUGUCUCCUGGCUCUCUUGCCUCUCCUCCCUCAUGUCUCUGGACACUUCACCCCUUACCUGGUCUCUGGGCCUCCUGUCUCCUUGCUUCUCCAUUGUCCUGUCUGUCCGCUGUGCACAUGGGGCCUAAUCUGGGCCUGGCCUCUGCUAUGCCUGCGUCCUGGGAGCAGAAGCAGACAGGCAGCAUGGACUCAGAUGACUUCAGGGCCCUGCUUAUCUCCACAGGAUACAGCCUGGGUGAUGCUGAGUUCAACCGGAUCAUGAGUGUGGUUGAUCCCAACCAUAGUGGCCUCGUGACCUUCCAAGCCUUCAUUGACUUCAUGUCAAGGGAGACCACAGACACAGACACAGCUGAUCAGGUCAUCGCCUCCUUCAAGGUCCUGGCAGGAGACAAGAACUUCAUCACUGCUGAGGAACUGCGGAGAGAGCUGCCCCCCGACCAGGCCGAGUACUGCAUCGCCCGCAUGGCACCCUACCAGGGGCCUGAUGCUGCUCCUGGCGCCCUUGACUACAAGUCCUUCUCCACAGCCCUCUAUGGGGAGAGCGACCUGUGAGGCCCUUGGCCACCCUGAACAGAGACUCCCUUGGCCUCCCGGAGGGGCUGAGGAGCCCUGCCCCCACCCUGACUCUGUAUCUAUGCAAAGAGCUCUUUGUGGUCCUUCUAGGGGGUCAGGCAGGGAGGGGCUAGGCAGGCCUCUCUUUCUCAGUCUUGUAGGGGAGGGAGGCUUGGCAAUCAGCAUUUCUGGUCUGCUAAAUAUAUACGCUGUGCUGUGGGUUCUUAGCCGAUUGGAGGGGACAACGGACUCCUGUGCCCCAGAGAUACCUUCCUAUCCCAGGUCCCCUCUGCCCCUGAGGCCCCUUCAAAGCCUCUCACAUCUAGGCCAAAGCCCCAUGUGCCUUGUCCAGGAACCGCCUGCCCUAAGAAGUCCAGCAGAGGGCACCCAGCUCCCCUGGACCAGAUUCCAGUGGCUCCUCCCAGGAGCAGAGGACCUGCCAUAGCCCUUCUCUGCCUCAGGAGUGGCUGCGGGGCAAUCAGCCCCAGCCCACCUGGCCUCUGAGUCUCAGAUUUUCUAAGGACCAAAACCAACAAAACACAAAGAAUGGAACAGAAACAAACAAAAAAAUCAUUUAAAAAAAAAAAAAGGAAAAAAAAAACUUAAAAAAAAAAAGAAAACUUUAAAAACUUAAGACCUUCCAGAGAAUUACUAUUUACUUUAUUAACUUACGGAUUUAUUAUAUAAAUAUAUAUCCAUCUAGCUGCAUAUCUCUGCCACCUCUCUCACUCUCAUAAUGAAGACAUAGCUGAUUCAAUGCCCUCCCCAGUCCCUCCUGAUUUUCCCCUCGUGGCGGUGGGCAGAGGUCUCUGGGGACCUUCUGAGGUGGAGGCAGGCUGCUGGCCUGCCUGCCUGGUCGUUAAUGGGUUUCUCUCCACUCGCCCCCUUGAGUUUAUUCUGAUUGAUUUUUAUUUUCUUGGUUUCUGGAUAAACCACCCUCUGGGGAUGGGAGAAUAAAACAUGUAAUAUUUUUAAGAAGGA